This 492-nucleotide ribosomal RNA is filed under the name uncultured bacterium. Its description in RNAcentral is "partial 16S ribosomal RNA". It matches the Rfam family "Bacterial small subunit ribosomal RNA", at positions 29 to 507 of the family's 1533-position model. The record is from RNAcentral.
AGUGAACGCUGGCGGUAGGCCUAACACAUGCAAGUCGAACGGCAGCACAGUAAGAGCUUGCUCUUACGGGUGGCGAGUGGCGGACGGGUGAGGAAUACAUCGGAAUCUACUUUUUCGUGGGGGAUAACGUAGGGAAACUUACGCUAAUACCGCAUACGACCUACGGGUGAAAGCAGGGGAUCUUCGGACCUUGCGCGAUUGAAUGAGCCGAUGUCGGAUUAGCUAGUUGGCGGGGUAAAGGCCCACCAAGGCGACGAUCCGUAGCUGGUCUGAGAGGAUGAUCAGCCACACUGGAACUAAGACACGGUCCAGACUCCUACGGGAGGCAGCAGUGGGGAAUAUUGGACAAUGGGCGCAAGCCUGAUCCAGCCAUACCGCGUGGGUGAAGAAGGCCUUCGGGUUGUAAAGCCCUUUUGUUAGGAAAGAAAAGCAGCAGGUUAAUACCCCGCUGUUCUGACGGUACCCAAAGAAUAAGCACCGGCUAACUUCGUG